RNAcentral lists this ribosomal RNA (604 nucleotides) under Russula grisea. Its description in RNAcentral is "eukaryotic LSU rRNA". It matches the Rfam family "Eukaryotic large subunit ribosomal RNA", at positions 209 to 789 of the family's 3401-position model. The record is from RNAcentral. Lineage: Eukaryota; Fungi; Basidiomycota; Agaricomycetes; Russulales; Russulaceae.
AGGGUGAGAAUCCCGUCUUUGGCACGGACCCCCAGGGCUUCUGUGAUGCGCUCUCGACGAGUCGAGUUGUUUGGGAAUGCAGCUCAAAAUGGGUGGUGAACUCCAUCUAAAGCUAAAUAUUGGCGAGAGACCGAUAGCGAACAAGUACCGUGAGGGAAAGAUGAAAAAGCACUUUGGAAAGAGAGUGAAACAGUACGUGAAAUUGUUGAAAGGGAAACGCUUGAAGUCAGUCGCGUCGACCGAGACUCAGCCUUGCGUCGGCUUGGUGUACUUCUCGGUUUGACGGGUCAGCAUCAAUUUUGAUCCUUGGAUAAUGGCAAGGGAAAGGUAGCACCUUUUUAGGUGUGUUAUAGUCCUCUGUCGCAUGCGAGGGUCAGGAUUGAGGAACUCAGCAUGCACCUUCGGGUGUCGGGGCCUUGGCCCACGUUACGUGCUUAGGAUGCUGGCAUAAUGGCUUUAAACGACCCGUCUUGAAACACGGACCAAGGAGUCUAACAUACCCGCGAGUGUUCGGGUGGAAAACCCGUGCGCGUAAUGAAAGUGAAAGUUGGGCCCCUUUUCGUGGAAAAGCACCGUCGCCCGACCCAGACCUUCUGUGAUGGCU